RNAcentral lists this ribosomal RNA (476 nucleotides) under uncultured organism. RNAcentral's name for it is "partial 16S ribosomal RNA". It matches the Rfam family "Bacterial small subunit ribosomal RNA", at positions 332 to 799 of the family's 1533-position model. The record is from RNAcentral.
UACACUCCUGCGGGAGGCAGCAGUGGGGAAUAUUGCACAAUGGGCGCAAGCCUGAUGCAGCCAUGCCGCGUGUAUGAAGAAGGCCUUCGGGUUGUAAAGUACUUUCAGCGGGGAGGAAGGCGAUAAGGUUAAUAACCUUGUUGAUUGACGUUACCCGCAGAAGAAGCACCGGCUAACUCCGUGCCAGCAGCCGCGGUAAUACGGAGGGUGCAAGCGUUAAUCGGAAUUACUGGGCGUAAAGCGCACGCAGGCGGUCUGUCAAGUCGGAUGUGAAAUCCCCGGGCUCAACCUGGGAACUGCAUUCGAAACUGGCAGGCUAGAGUCUUGUAGAGGGGGGUAGAAUUCCAGGUGUAGCGGUGAAAUGCGUAGAGAUCUGGAGGAAUACCGGUGGCGAAGGCGGCCCCCUGGACAAAGACUGACGCUCAGGUGCGAAAGCGUGGGGAGCAAACAGGAUUAGAUACCCGAGUAGUCCCAUG